RNAcentral lists this unclassified non-coding RNA (314 nucleotides) under plant metagenome. RNAcentral's name for it is "partial contains 5.8S ribosomal RNA, internal transcribed spacer 2, and large subunit ribosomal RNA". The stretch from base 1 to 105 matches the Rfam family "5.8S ribosomal RNA", at positions 50 to 154 of the family's 154-position model. The record is from RNAcentral.
GAAAUGCGAUAAUUAAUGUGAAUUGCAGAAUUCAGUGAAUCAUCGAGUCUUUGAACGCACAUUGCGCCCCCUGGUAUUCCGGGGGGCAUGCCUGUCCGAGCGUCAUUGCUGCCCUCAAGCACGGCUUGUGUGUUGGGCUUCCGUCCCUGGCAACGGGGACGGGCCCAAAAGGCAGUGGCGGCACCAUGUCUGGUCCUCGAGCGUAUGGGGCAUUGUCACCCGCUCCCGUAGGUCCAGCUGGCAGCUAGCCUCGCAACCAAUCUUUUUAACCAGGUUGACCUCGGAUCAGGUAGGGAUACCCGCUGAACUUAAGC